UAGGGAAUCUUCCGCAAUGGGCGAAAGCCUGACGGAGCAACGCCGCGUGAGUGAUGAAGGUCUUCGGAUCGUAAAACUCUGUUAUCAGGGAAGAACAAAUGUGUAAGUAACUGUGCACAUCUUGACGGUACCUGAUCAGAAAGCCACGGCUAACUACGUGCCAGCAGCCGCGGUAAUACGUAGGUGGCAAGCGUUAUCCGGAAUUAUUGGGCGUAAAGCGCGCGUAGGCGGUUGUUUAAGUCUGAUGUGAAAGCCCACGGCUCAACCGUGGAGGGUCAUUGGAAACUGGAAAACUUGAGUGCAGAAGAGGAAAGUGGAAUUCCAUGUGUAGCGGUGAAAUGCGCAGAGAUAUGGAGGAACACCAGUGGCGAAGGCGACUUUCUGGUCUGUAACUGACGCUGAUGUGCGAAAGCGUGGGGAUCAAACA
RNAcentral lists this ribosomal RNA (427 nucleotides) under uncultured bacterium. RNAcentral's name for it is "partial 16S ribosomal RNA". It matches the Rfam family "Bacterial small subunit ribosomal RNA", at positions 355 to 774 of the family's 1533-position model. The record is from RNAcentral.